Molecule: ribosomal RNA, 443 nt
Filed under: uncultured bacterium
Lineage: Bacteria
Description: partial 16S ribosomal RNA
Rfam family: Bacterial small subunit ribosomal RNA
Source: RNAcentral
CCUACGGGAGGCUGCAGUGGGGAAUAUUGCGCAAUGGGCGAAAGCCUGACGCAGCGACGCCGCGUGAGGGAUGAAGGCUUUCGGGUUGUAAACUUCUUUUCUCAGGGACGAAGAAAGUGACGGUACCUGAGGAAUAAGCCACGGCUAACUACGUGCCAGCAGCCGCGGUAAUACGUAGGUGGCAAGCGUUAUCCGGAUUUACUGGGUGUAAAGGGGGCGCAGACGGCGAUGCAAGCCAGGAGUGAAAGCCCGGGGCCCAACCCCGGGACUGCUCUUGGAACUGCGUGGCUAGAGUGCAGGAGGGGCAGGCGGAAUUCCUGGUGUAGCGGUGAAAUGCGUAGAUAUCAGGAGGAACACCGGUGGCGAAGGCGGCCUGCUGGACUGCAACUGACGUUGAGGCCCGAAAGCGUGGGGAGCAAACAGGAUUAGAUACCCGGGUAGUC